AAAAAAGAUCCUCCAAGCAGAAUUGUAUAGUUUAUUAGAUGAACACAAAUGGAAUUAAGCCUUCCUUUCAUUCAAUAUUCAUAAAUUGUACUCAUAACACUUUCUGACUCCUCAGGACAGGAGGCAGUUAAUAAAACAAUAGGCUACAUUUAAGACAUUCAGUUCCUUACAACAAGACAUCUCUUUGGAUCUCUAGUUUUUCAACAACAGUUUUUCUCGGUACAGUAACUGGAAUUGUCGUUCCACCCUUCUUAAUACAGUGAUGUUUAUUUGUUUAAUGACUACUCGUACAAUGGAUGGAUAAUACUAUAAUAAUAUAGCACUCAUGACUCACAUUGGUUCUAGGAGAUGCCUCAUUAUUUUGUUUGACAAAUUGUAUAGCUUAUUAGAUGAACACAAAUGGAAUUAAGCCUUCCUUUCAUUCAAUAUUCAUAAAUUGUACUCAUAACACUUUCUGACUCCUCAGGACAGGAGGCAGUUAAUAAAACAAUAGGCUACAUUUAAG
Gasterosteus aculeatus aculeatus (three-spined stickleback) is the source of this 505-nucleotide long non-coding RNA. NCBI's taxonomy places the organism in Eukaryota, Metazoa, Chordata, Actinopteri, Perciformes, Gasterosteidae. The record is from Ensembl.